GCGUGCGGAUGGCUCAUUAAAACAGUUAUAGUUUAUUUGAUGGUCUUUACUACAUGGAUAACCGUGGUAAUUCUAUGGCUAAUACAUGCGCACAUGCCUCUUCCCCUGGAAGGGCAGUGUUUAUUAGAUACAGAACCAACCCACCUUCCGGUGGUCCUCAGGUGAUUCAUAGUAACCGAACGGAUCGCGUUGACUUCGGUCUGCGACGGAUCAUUCAAGUUUCUGACCUAUCAGCUUUCGACGGUACUGUAUUGGACUACCGUGGCAA
This 268-nucleotide ribosomal RNA is filed under the name Toxoplasma gondii. Its description in RNAcentral is "partial small subunit ribosomal RNA". It matches the Rfam family "Eukaryotic small subunit ribosomal RNA", at positions 91 to 352 of the family's 1831-position model. The record is from RNAcentral. Lineage: Eukaryota; Apicomplexa; Conoidasida; Eucoccidiorida; Sarcocystidae.